Molecule: transfer RNA, 68 nt
Filed under: Loxodonta africana (African savanna elephant)
Lineage: Eukaryota; Metazoa; Chordata; Mammalia; Proboscidea; Elephantidae
Rfam family: tRNA
About the family: Transfer RNA (tRNA) molecules are approximately 80 nucleotides in length. Their secondary structure includes four short double-helical elements and three loops (D, anti-codon, and T loops).
Source: Rfam by way of RNAcentral
GGUGGUGCAGUGGUUAAAAUGCUUGGUUGCUAACCAAAAGGUCAGUGGUUCGAAUCCACUUGCCGCUC